ACAAAAGAAGAAGAUUUUUAAAUAAAGAUCUUACAACAAAAGUAUGCAUCUCUUUCUUUUAACGGAUAUGUGAGAUUGAGAAUCACCUUCUAGCAAUGCUAAAAUAGGAUAGAUUAUUGUUCAUGCAAUUUAAGGAUACCUAAUAUAACAGAUUGGGAUACUAAGAAAUAAUUUUCAGAAGUUUAUACAAUUCCGAGCCUAAAAUGUUCUAAGAUGACUUGAGAGUUCAUCUCUUAUUAGAAAAGAAGGCUCAUUUUUAUGGCUGAAGUUGCUGGAAAUGUAAAAUUCGUUUAAAGCGUUUGUCACUUGUUUAAGGGGAUCUCAUGUUGGGAUACCCUUUCUUUGCUCGCUCAUAGAAAAGUAAAAAGAAGUUCUAGCUAAGUAAAAUUCGAUCUAGAUGGAGGAAAGAUUUGGAGUGCAAAUAUCCAUGAGGUAUUGAAUAGUCCUGUUUGUAGACAAGUAGUA
RNAcentral lists this long non-coding RNA (465 nucleotides) under Phoenix dactylifera (date palm). RNAcentral describes it as "long non-coding RNA (PDAC_LNC006374)". The record is from RNAcentral. Lineage: Eukaryota; Viridiplantae; Streptophyta; Magnoliopsida; Arecales; Arecaceae.